CGGGAGGCAGCAGUAGGGAAUCUUCCGCAAUGGGCGAAAGCCUGACGGAGCAACGCCGCGUGAGUGAUGAAGGUCUUCGGAUCGCAAAACUCUGUUAUUAGGGAAGAACAAAUGUGUAAGUAACUAUGCACGUCUUGACGGUACCUAAUCAGAAAGCCACGGCUAACUACGUGCCAGCAGCCGCGGUAAUACGUAGGUGGCAAGCGUUAUCCGGAAUUAUUGGGCGUAAAGCGCGCGUAGGCGGUUUUUUAAGUCUGAUGUGAAAGCCCACGGCUCAACCGUGGAGGGUCAUUGGAAACUGGAAAACUUGAGUGCAGAAGAGGAAAGUGGAAUUCCAUGUGUAGCGGUGAAAUGCGCAGAGAUAUGGAGGAACACCAGUGGCGAAGGCGACUUUCUGGUCUGUAACUGACGCUGAUGUGCGAAAGCGUGGGGAUCAAACAGGAUUAGAUACCCUGGUAGUCCACGCCGUAAACGAUGAGUGCUAAGUGUUAGGGGGUUUCCGCCCCCUAGUGCUGCAGCUAACGCAUUAAGCACUCCGCCUGGGGAGUACGACCGCAAGGUUGAAACUCGAAGGAAUUGACGGGGACCCGCACAAGCGGUGGAGCAUGUGGUUUAAUUCGAAGCAACGCGAAGAACCUUACCAAAUCUUGACAUCCUCUGACCCCUCUAGAGAUAGAGUUUUCCCCUUCGGGGGACAGAGUGACAGGUGGUGCAUGGUUGUCGUCAGCUCGUGUCGUGAGGUGUUGGGUUAAGU
Molecule: ribosomal RNA, 754 nt
Filed under: uncultured Staphylococcus sp.
Lineage: Bacteria; Bacillati; Bacillota; Bacilli; Caryophanales; Staphylococcaceae
Description: bacterial SSU rRNA
Rfam family: Bacterial small subunit ribosomal RNA
Source: RNAcentral